Molecule: ribosomal RNA, 381 nt
Filed under: uncultured bacterium
Lineage: Bacteria
Description: bacterial SSU rRNA
Rfam family: Bacterial small subunit ribosomal RNA
Source: RNAcentral
AUUGAACGCUGGCGGCAGGCUUAACACAUGCAAGUCGAGCGGAGACUUCGGUCUUAGCGGCGAACGGGUGAGUAAUACCUAGGAAUCUGCCUAUUAGUGGGGGAUAACGAAUCGAAAGGUUCGCUAGUACCGCAUACGUCCUACGGGAGAAAGGGGGGAGUCUUCGGACCUCUCGCUAAUAGAUGAGCCUAGGCCGGAUUAGCUAGUUGGUAGGGUAAAGGCCUACCAAGGCGACGAUCUGUAGCUGGUCUGAGAGGAUGGCCAGCCACACUGGAACUGAGACACGGUCCAGACUCCUACGGGAGGCAGCAGUGGGGAAUAUUGGACAAUGGGGGCAACCCUGAUCCAGCCAUGCCGCGUGUGUGAAGAAGGCCUUCGGUU